This 301-nucleotide ribosomal RNA is filed under the name uncultured bacterium. RNAcentral's name for it is "partial 16S ribosomal RNA". It matches the Rfam family "Bacterial small subunit ribosomal RNA", at positions 509 to 807 of the family's 1533-position model. The record is from RNAcentral.
CAGUCGCCGCGGGAAUACGUAGGGUGCGAGCGUUAAUCGGAAUUACUGGGCGUAAAGCGUGCGCAGGCGGUUCGUUAAGACAGAUGUGAAAUCCCCGGGCUUAACCUGGGAACUGCAUUUGUGACUGGCGAGCUAGAGUAUGGCAGAGGGGGGUAGAAUUCCACGUGUAGCAGUGAAAUGCGUAGAGAUGUGGAGGAACACCAACGGCGAAAGCACUCUGCUGGGCCGACACUGACACUGAGAGACGAAAGCUAGGGGAGCAAAUGGGAUUAGAUACCCCUGUAGUCCCUGUCUCUUAUAC